GAUGAACGCUGGCGGCGUGCCUAAUACAUGCAAGUCGAGCGAACGGACGAGAAGCUUGCUUCUCUGAUGUUAGCGGCGGACGGGUGAGUAACACGUGGAUAACCUACCUAUAAGACUGGGAUAACUUCGGGAAACCGGAGCUAAUACCGGAUAAUAUUUUGAACCGCAUGGUUCAAAAGGGAAAGACGGUCUUGCUGUCACUUAUAGAUGGAUCCGCGCUGCAUUAGCUAGUUGGUAAGGUAACGGCUUACCAAGGCAACAAUGCAUAGCCGACCUGAGAGGGUGAUCGGCCACACUGGAACUGAGACACGGUCCAGACUCCUACGGGAGGCAGCAGUGGGGAAUCUUCCGCAAUGGGCGAAAGCCUGACGGAGCAACGCCGCGUGAGUGAUGAAGGUCUUCGGAUCGUAAAACUCUGUUAUUAGGGAAGAACAUAUGUGUAAGUAACUGUGCACAUCUUGACGGUACCUAAUCAGAAAGCCACGGCUAACUACGUG
Molecule: ribosomal RNA, 497 nt
Filed under: uncultured bacterium
Lineage: Bacteria
Description: partial 16S ribosomal RNA
Rfam family: Bacterial small subunit ribosomal RNA
Source: RNAcentral